Molecule: long non-coding RNA, 545 nt
Organism: Humulus lupulus (European hop)
Lineage: Eukaryota; Viridiplantae; Streptophyta; Magnoliopsida; Rosales; Cannabaceae
Exons: 3
Source: RefSeq, a predicted model, not a curated record
UUUAACUUUAAAAUUUGUGAUCAGUUUCUGAUGGGUGCAUUGUGUAACUAUCAGAUUUUUCUUGGUUUUAUUUUCUGAUGGAAUUUAUAGUUGCUGAUAGAUUUUUGGGACCAAGGACUAGUUCUUUCGUUAAUCUUUGAAGAUGCUUCAUUUUCCAUCUUUUAUAUUCGAUGAUAAUGCAUCAUUGUACACCAAACAUAGUGUUUUAGAAAGGAACUUUGUUGCUUGAGAUGUCUUUAAAUGACUAGUUUUGUUGUCCUUAUGGGGCUUACAGUGACUCAUUAAUGUAAUCUCAUUUUUUUCUUAACACAAGGAAUACAUUUAUUUCCAAGAAAGUUGACAACAAGAAGAAAAAGAAACUUAAGAAGGUGGAAGAUAAGAUGCUUGGAUGGGCUACAUGAUUUUGAUACGUGCAUUGCAAAAAAUGAAGAAGCUAUUCAAAUUGAUCCUCACUUUGCUGAGUGUUAUGGAAACAUGGCAAAUGCUUGGAAGGAGAAGGGCAACAUUGAUGUUGCAAUCCGCUACUAUUUAAUUGCUAUCGAGGU